CUGAAUAUAAUUCUUGUCACUGUGGAUUUGGGCUCCCUUUCUAUGUCCAAUUCCUCUUCCCUUAUUUAGGCUCAGGGGAGAGAGAAAGCCCAGAAAGAAAGCUACUCCAGGGUCCUAUGGAUAUUUCAGAGAAGUUAUUUUGUUCAACCUGUGACCAGACCUUCCAGAACCACCAAGAACAGAGGGAACAUUAUAAGCUUGACUGGCAUCGGUUUAACCUAAAGCAACGUCUCAAGGACAAGCCUCUCCUGUCUGCCCUGGACUUUGAAAAGCAGAGCUCCACAGGAGAUCUUUCCAGCAUCUCAGGAUCAGAAGACUCAGACUCAGCCAGUGAGGAGGACUUGCAGACACUGGAUCGGGAGAGGGCUACAUUUGAGAAGUUUAGCCGACCCCAAGGCUUUUACCCUCAUCGAGUUCUUUUCCAGAAUGCCCAGGGCCAGUUUCUUUAUGCCUACCGCUGUGUCCUAGGCCCUCAUCAGGCAAGUGACAGUACAGGUUGUAUGGCUAACCCCAGCCUUUUGUACACCCAGCCUAGAUUUCCCUAAACCUAAUGCA
RNAcentral lists this small RNA (555 nucleotides) under Pongo abelii (Sumatran orangutan). RNAcentral describes it as "retained intron". Lineage: Eukaryota; Metazoa; Chordata; Mammalia; Primates; Hominidae. The record is from RNAcentral.